AAACAAAGACAUGAAAGCACAAGAAAAAGACACAUUAUAGUAUGUACAAAAACCUCAUCAAAUUGCAUUUUGUACAUGAAAUUUGAUUGCCCAAACGCGCAUUUCGUCUUCAUAUGACGUAUCAGUGACACAACAAAAACAAAAUCCUGGCCAAUUCAAAUAUUAAUUUGAAGAGCAUUUAUUACCGAAAAUUGAAAAAAAAGUAUGUACUUACAAAUACCAUAGAAAAACAUAUUUGUAAACCGCAACACUAUUUAAUGAAUACAAAUUAGAUAAAUAUGGUUUUUCGACUGUAGAUUCAUACGACCACAAAGGUUCAAGCCUGAACAAUUUGGGCAACAUGGACACAAUAAUCAAAUUGAUACAGGUCUGAAUUCGGAUUGUAAUUAAAUAUUUGACACAUUUUAGGUUUCUGACACAGAAAUACUGUAGUCAGAAAAUUUAAAAUAGGUUAAAUGAUUUGAAUAUUUAUUGAUGUAUUGUGGUUGUGCAAUACACUGUGC
RNAcentral lists this long non-coding RNA (503 nucleotides) under Mytilus galloprovincialis (Mediterranean mussel). The record is from RNAcentral. Lineage: Eukaryota; Metazoa; Mollusca; Bivalvia; Mytilida; Mytilidae.